CCUACGGGAGGCAGCAGUAGGGAAUAUUGGACAGUGGGCGCAAGCCUGAUCCAGCCAUGCCGCGUGAGUGAAGAAGGCCUUCGGGUUGUAAAGCUCUUUUGUCCGGAAAGAAAAGCUUCGGGUUAAUACCCUGGAGUCCUGACGGUACCGGAAGAAUAAGCACCGGCUAACUUCGUGCCAGCAGCCGCGGUAAU
This 194-nucleotide ribosomal RNA is filed under the name uncultured Lysobacter sp. RNAcentral's name for it is "partial 16S ribosomal RNA". It matches the Rfam family "Bacterial small subunit ribosomal RNA", at positions 338 to 524 of the family's 1533-position model. Lineage: Bacteria; Pseudomonadati; Pseudomonadota; Gammaproteobacteria; Lysobacterales; Lysobacteraceae. The record is from RNAcentral.